RNAcentral lists this ribosomal RNA (252 nucleotides) under uncultured bacterium. Its description in RNAcentral is "partial 16S ribosomal RNA". It matches the Rfam family "Bacterial small subunit ribosomal RNA", at positions 524 to 776 of the family's 1533-position model. The record is from RNAcentral.
UACGUAGGGCGCAAGCGUUAUCCGGAAUUAUUGGGCGUAAAGAGCUCGUAGGCGGUUUGUCGCGUCUGCCGUGAAAGUCCGGGGCUCAACUCCGGAUCUGCGGUGGGUACGGGCAGACUAGAGUGCAGUAGGGGAGACUGGAAUUCCUGGUGUAGCGGUGAAAUGCGCAGAUAUCAGGAGGAACACCGAUGGCGAAGGCAGGUCUCUGGGCUGUAACUGACGUGAGGAGCGAAAGCAUGGGGAGCGAACAGG